Molecule: ribosomal RNA, 494 nt
Filed under: Vibrio pelagius
Lineage: Bacteria; Pseudomonadati; Pseudomonadota; Gammaproteobacteria; Vibrionales; Vibrionaceae
Description: bacterial SSU rRNA
Rfam family: Bacterial small subunit ribosomal RNA
Source: RNAcentral
CCUUUAGAGUUUUGGAACCUGGCUCAGAUUGAACGCUGGCGGCAGGCCUAACACAUGCAAGUCGAGCGGAAACGAGUUAUCUGAACCUUCGGGGAACGAUAACGGCGUCGAGCGGCGGACGGGUGAGUAAUGCCUAGGAAAUUGCCUUGAUGUGGGGGAUAACCAUUGGAAACGAUGGCUAAUACCGCAUAACGCCUACGGGCCAAAGAGGGGGACCUUCGGGCCUCUCGCGUCAAGAUAUGCCUAGGUGGGAUUAGCUAGUUGGUGAGGUAAUGGCUCACCAAGGCGACGAUCCCUAGCUGGUCUGAGAGGAUGAUCAGCCACACUGGAACUGAGACACGGUCCAGACUCCUACGGGAGGCAGCAGUGGGGAAUAUUGCACAAUGGGCGCAAGCCUGAUGCAGCCAUGCCGCGUGUAUGAAGAAGGCCUUCGGGUUGUAAAGUACUUUCAGCAGUGAGGAAGGGGGUGUCGUUAAUAGCGGCAUCUCUGACUA